ACCGGGUCGCGGCGGCCGAGGCUCGGGCCUCCAGGACCACUGGCUGCCCAUGAGAGACGAAGGAUGGCAUCCAAGGGGGCCGGCGUGUCUUUCUCCCGCAAGAGCUGUAGGCUGACCUCAGAUGCUGAGAAAUCCAGGGUCACAGGGACCCGCUGCAGCUGGGAGGGGAGCUGUCCAGGAGGCCGGCCUGGGAAUGAGCACAGGCCUGCGGCUGGCAGAGAGCCGGGUCGAGCCAGCCCUGGAGAAGCAGGCCCAGCUGGAGGAGCAGCUGCGGGACAAGGUGCUCCACGAGAAGGACCUGUCCCAGCAGCAGAUGCAAAGCGACCUGGACAAGGCUGACCUCAGUGCCAGGAGGGUCCCUGGUGGGUGCUGCAUGAGGCAGGCGUCACUGCAGAAGAGUGACAGAGCUGGGCCUGGCAGUGAAGCGUCUACAGAAGCAGAAUCUGGAGAAGGAUCAGGUCGACAAGGACCUCACCGAGAAGCUUGAGGCCCUGGAAUCCCUGCGGCUACAGGAGCAGGCGGCCCUGGAGACAGAGGAUGGAGAGGGGCUACAGCGGAGCCUAAGGGACCUGGCACAGGCCGUCCUGUCUGACGCUGAGAGCGGCAGCCUGCGUCCAACAGCGUCCGACCGCAGCCUGCGGGGGCUCUCGGGCCAGCGGACCCCGUCUCCACCGCGGCGCUCCUCGCCGGGCCGAGGCCGUUCGCCCCGCAGAGGCCCCUCCCCGGCCUGCUCAGAAGACUCCACGCUCGCUUGCCCUGAUUCUCUCCGCCCUGCACUUUUGCCAGCUGAAGGUCCAGGGAGAAGAGCAACCUGGUCCACAGCCUGCAGGUGGCCCAGCAGCAGGCCGAGGAGCUGCCGCAGGAGCGGGAGAAGCUGCAGGUUGCCCAGGAGGAGCUGCAGCGCCAGCGGGACCGGCUGGAGGAAGAGCAGGAAGAGGCGGUGCAGAAUGGCGCACGGGUUCGCCGGGAGCUUGAGCGCAGCCAUAGACAACUAGAGCAGCUGGAAGGGAAGCGCUCAGUCCUGGCCAAGGAGCUGGUGGAGGUGAGGGAGGCGCUGAGCCGCGCCACGCUGCAACGGGACAUGCUGCAGGCCGAGAAGACCGAGGUGGCCGAGGCGCUGACCAAGGGUGAGGCUGGCCGCAUGGAGCUCGAGCUCUCCGUGACCAAGCUGAGGGCAGAGGAGGCCUCCCUGCAGGACUCCCUGUCCAAGCUGAGCGCCCUCAACGAGAGCCUUGCUCAGGACAAGUUGGAUCUGAACUGCCUUGUCACCCAGCUGGAGGAAGAAAAGGCCAUGCUGCAGGGCCGGCAGCGGCAGGCGGAGCAGGAGGCCACAGUGGCGCCGGCAGAGCAGGAGUGGCUGGAGGAGCUGUGGUUGGAGCAGGAGGUGGCACGGCAGGGCCUGGAGGGCUCCCUAUGAGUGGCGGAGCAGGCCCAGGAGGCGCUGGAGCAACAGCUCCCCACACUGCACCAUGAGCUCAGUUGGCUGCAGGAGCAGCUAGCACAGGUAGGCCAAACUGUGUGUGGGGUGGUCUGGAGAGCAUGUGGGGCAGGCCAGGCUCGCAGCCUCCUGCAUCCAGUCCUGGGUUAAGUCACAGGCACUGGAGCCUGCUUCUGGGUUAAAUCCAGUCCCACUUCUCCUAGCUGGGGACCUUGGACAAGCUGCCCAACCUCCCAUACCUCAGUUGCCCCAUUUAUAACAUGGGGCUAGCCGGGUGCAGUGGCUCACGCCUAUAAUCCCAGCAGUUGGGGAAGCCGAGGCGGGUGGAUCACCUGAGGUCCGGAGAUCAAGACCAUCCUGGCUAACACGGUGAAACCCUAUCUCUACAAAAAAUUAGCUGGGUGUGGUGGCACGCGCCUGUAGUCCCAGCUACUCAGGAGGCUGAGGCAGGAGAAUCGCUUGCCUCUGCCUCCGGGGUUUAAGCUGUUCGCCUGCCUCAGCGUCCCAAGUAGCAGGGACUACAGGCGUGCACCACCAUGCCCGGCUAAUUUUUGUAUUUUUAGUAGAGACAGGGUUUCACCACGUUGGCCAGGCUGGUCUUGAACUCUUGACCUCAAGUGAUCCACCUGCCAAAGUGCUGGGAUUAUAGGCGUGAGCCACCGUGUCCGGCCGGGCCCUGGUUUUUGUACACACGUGCAUUGCAGAUCUAGAGAAGGUCAUGACUUGCCCAAGUACAUAUAGCACAUCAGGGCAGACCCUGGGCUCGAACCCAGGCCUUCUGCCAGGACUGGGUUAGGCCCAGAGUUGGGGUACUGCACGAUGAACAAGCUGGGGGAUGCUGGGAGUGCUACUCAGUCUCUGGGUGGGAGCCAGCUCUCCUGGCAGCUGAGCAGGCGGGAGCAGGAGCUGGAGCAGGCCCGGUGGGAGGCCCAGUGACAGGUGGAGACGCUGGGGCAAGUGGCCCGGGAGAAGGAGGCGCUAGCCAAGGAGCACGCUGGCCUGGCUGUGCAGCUGGCGGCCUGCGGAGCGUGAAGGCAGGACCGUGUCAGAGGAGGCCACACACCUGCAGUAAGGCCUUGGGCUCUGCCCAACCCGCCCUGGGCGGUCCUCCUGGGGCCACGCCAUGAACAGCCUCACCCAGGCACGGGCCCCCAGGGGCAGUUACUAAGGAGUCUGGCUUGCCAACUCGUCCUAGCUGUGGGCUCAGGCUUCCCCAGGGAGUGUGGGCCUGGCCAGGCAGGUAGAUUGGCACUUGGCCCAUGCCUGGCCACUCCCUGAGAUCCACAGUUUCCUGGGGCCAGGGAGGCUGAGUCCCAGGGCCUCACGCACUGUAUGUGCUGCAGCUUGGAGAAGGAAGCCCUGGAGGGCAGCCUGUUUGAGGUGCAAUGGCAGCUGGCCCAGCUUGAGGCCCGCCGGGAGCAGCUGGAAGCCGAGGGGCAGGCCCUGCUGCUGGCCAAGGAGACCCUGACUGGUACGAGUGGCUGGGGACUUGGGGGGAACACCAGGUUCCAGCCCAGACUGCAACCUCCCAAUGUCUGUAGUCUCACAGAAGUUGGGAGCACUGGAGUAGGAGUCUGGCUGGCCUGGGUUCCAGUCCUGUGCCACCACUUAGAUCUCACCUUCCCUUGAGCAAGCCCCUUUCCUCUCUGGGCUGCAGAUUCCUCAGCUGAUGAUUGGAGGUGGCAAUGCCCACCUUCUAAGCCUGUUGCCAGGAUGACAUGGGAAAAGCGUGUAAGGCCGUGGCACGGUGCCUGGCUGAGUCAACAGUAACUGCUGUUCAUCGGUCAUCAGGCCUGUUAGUCUGAGUUCUCUGUGGUUUUCAGAUGACUCUCUUGGCCCCAGAAUCCGAGCCCCACUUCCCUGCACCGUUCCCCAUCGAAUCUCUGAACUCAGGGCUUCUUUCUGCUCAUCUAACAUUAACUAAGCACCUACUUGGGUCAUGGAAAUUAAUUUUCCUGUCCAUGUACACCUGAGCCAGACAGAACCAGGAAGGGAAAUGCUGGUGGGUUUCCAACCCGGGAGAUGGUUUUUAGAUGAUGGCUAUACCAUUUCCAUUCCCUGUAGUCGUUUCCAUUAAUGCUGAUAGUUAAUGCUUGACAGGUAUGUUCAUGUCAGUCAUUAAAGGAGAUGCUUUAUGUGUAGCUGUGCAGCUGUGGGAAGUUGCUGCUGAUCUCCUCUGAUCCUCCAUUUCAUCAUCUGUUAAACGGGGAUGAGGAUAAACUACAUAGGCAUGUUAUGAAGACAAAAUGAGGUUAUGUCUAAAAUACUUAGCUGGGUGCUUGACGCAUAGUAAGUGCUGAGUCAGUAAUAGGGUUUUUGUUUGUUUGUUUGUUUUUGUUUGUUUGUUUUGAGAUGGAGUUUCACUCUUGUUGCCCAGGCUGGAGUGCAAUGGCGCGAUUUUGGCUCACCUCAACCUCCGCCUCCCAGGUUCAAGCGAUUCUCCUGCCUCAGCCUUCCAAGUAGCUGGGAUUACAGGCACGCGCCACCAUGCCUGGCUAAUUUUGUAUUUUUAGUAGAGACGGGGUUUCACCAUGUUGGUCAAGCUGGUCUCGAACUCUCGACCUCAGGUGAUCUGCCCACUUCGGCCUCCCAAAGUGCUGGGAUUACAGGCAUGAGCCACCGCGCCCAGCCUGUUUGAUUUUUUGAGACAGAGUCUCACUCUUGUCGCCCAGGUUGGAGUGCAGUGGUGCGAUCUGAGCUCACUGCAACUUCUGCCUCUUGGGUUCAAGCGAUUCUCCUGCCUCAGCCUCCCAAGUAGCUAGGACUACAUACGUCCGCCACCAUGCCCAGCUAAUUGUUGUAUUUUUAGUAGAGACAGGGUUUCACCGUGUUGGCCAGGCUGGUCUUGAACUCCUUACCUAAGGUGAUCCACCUGCCCCAGCUUCCCAAAGUGCUGGGAUUACAGGAGUGAGCCAUGGCACCUGGCCUAGGGUUGUUAUAUGUUUGACAUCCGUCCCAUUUGGGAGGCCUUCUCAUCAGUCAUUUUAUGCCUUUAAUGCCAUUCUAGGUAGGCAGGAAAGGGGUCAGGGCCAGUGGGCCCAUGUAGCAGAUAGGGAAACUGAGGCCCAGAGAGGACAAGCCACUUCUUCAAGAGGACCCAAACUGGAUGCCAGGCAGGCCCUCUGCCUCUGGGAUUUUGCCCAUAUGGCUCAACUGGCCUAAGUCUGCUGGCCCAAGGAAAAAUUUCAACCCAACCCUGCCCUUUCCCCCAUUCCUCUCGUGCAGGGGAGUUGGCGGGCCUGCGGCAGCAAAUAAUAGCUACGCAGGAGAAAGCCAGUCUAGACAAGGAGCUGAUGGCCCAGAAGCUGGUGCAGGCUGAGCGGGAGGCCCAGGCCUCUCUGCGGGAGCAGUGGGCAGCCCAGGAGGAGGACUUACAGUGACUCCAGCGUGAAAAGGUUCAGGCAGCUGGGGAGGGGUGGGCAGAAGUCUGAGCCAGUGUUUCAUCAUCGUUCUUGCUCUGCCUCGGUCUGUACAUCUGUGAAAUGGGACUCCCUCUCUGUUGUGGAGGCCCUGGGGACAGCUGGGAGGACUGGAGGGGUGGUGGGGAGGUUGUGGUCCUUAUUAGACAUUCAGAUACCCAGGUCCCAAAUCUGGUCCAGCCCUGGUAAUCCUGAUGCAGAGGGUCCACAACCACAUUUGGGAAAUGUUGACCUAAUGCACAGCAGGAAAGCACUUUCAUUUGCUAAGAAGUUUCCAUAUGAAGGGCCACGCAGACCUGAGCAUGUAGAAAGGCAAGGGGCCAGGGAAGUUACUAGAACACUGACUCUGGGGUUAUAUUGCCUGGGUUUGAAUCUAAUCUUGGUCGCUUACUGGUGAUGCUACCCAAGGUGUCUGUGCCUUCAUUUCCCCACCUGUAGAAAUAGGGAUAGGAUAGUGGAAGGUAUUGAGGAUGAGCUGAGACCAUCUGCAUAGAGGGCUUAACAUAGUGACUGGUACUUAGCAAAUGCUCCAUGAGUUAUGAUUGCUGGCACUGGCAUGCUCUCCAGAGUGGCCCUCAGAACAGGGGCCCUCAGCCACCAAAUCCUAGACAGGGCUUCCUCUGACAGAGGUGCAGGCUAUGACUACAUGGCUCCAGGGCAUGCCACUCACCCUGCAGUCCCCAUGGCCUUGGGUGGUGGUUAUCACGCUUCUCCAUCAGGGGGCGGUAAAGCUCUUUCCGAAAGUGCUGGGAUUCCAGGCAUGAGCUAUGGUGAAGCUCUUAAAGAAGGGGUGGCUUGGCCGGGCGUGCUGACUCAUGCCUGUAAUCCCAGCACUUUGGGAGGCUGAGGUGGGCGGAUCACGAGGUCAGGAGAUCGAGACCAUCCUAGCUAACACAGUGAAACCCUAUCUCUCCUAAAAUCACAAAAAAUUAGCUGGGCAUGGUGGCACGCGCCUGUAGUCCCAGAUACUUGGGAGGGUAAGGCAGAAGAAUCGCUUCAACCUGGGAGGCAGAGGUUGCAGUGAGCCAAAAUCACGCCACUGCACUCCAGCCUGGGUGACAGAGCGAGACUCUGUCU
This 5934-nucleotide long non-coding RNA is filed under the name Homo sapiens (human). RNAcentral's name for it is "non-protein coding lnc-NBPF1-1:6". Lineage: Eukaryota; Metazoa; Chordata; Mammalia; Primates; Hominidae. The record is from RNAcentral.